This is a long non-coding RNA of Brassica oleracea var. oleracea, 862 nucleotides long. RefSeq lists it as uncharacterized. NCBI's taxonomy places the organism in Eukaryota, Viridiplantae, Streptophyta, Magnoliopsida, Brassicales, Brassicaceae. The record is from RefSeq and is a predicted model, not a curated record. The transcript has 3 exons.
UUUCUUUUUUAUUUUGUUUUUAAUGAAAAAUAUGGUGAAAGACAAAAUAACCCUUAAUGAAAUAGCUCAAUUACAAAGAUCCAACUAAAAACUCCGACCCAUCCCAGUCCAACCCGAUAUAACCUGGAUCUUAACCUAAACGACGGCGUUUCCUUCCCAUCCUAUACCCAAUCUCUCUAACUUCUCUCAUUUCGCAGGUCUCCCCCCCAGCUCUCUCUCGCGACAGGGAACCGAAACCCUAGGAAACGAAUCGCGUUGUUCGUUAUUCUUCAUCCAUCUAAAUCAAACGUCUAUAAAUUUAUGCCUCUCACUUCUCGUGUCUCAACUCUCUCUAUGUCUCUAAAUUGGGACCAAAACCGUUCUGAAACCCUAGAGUCGAAAAUCGAUUCGCUCCAUCAAAAUCCAGGUUCCAUCCUUCGUUUCUUCUGGUCGGAACCGUUGAACUAAUUGAAGUUAUUAGAGCAGAGUUUAUGACAUCCUCUGCGUUCAUAUUCUUUAUGAGAACCGGCUGUUUCUUAUAUUCAGAAACUGCAACGUGUCUGUGUGGAAUUUCGCGGAGAGCUCGUGAUUUCCUUUAACAUAAUGGUGGAUGCCAGUGGUGAAAGGAAGCAAAUAGUCAUCCACAAAGUGGUUCCAUUUUCUCGAGUUCAAGGUCUAGGAUAAGAAAGAGCCUGAAGAAAAAGAAGAAAAGAAAGAUUGACAGAAGAAAAAAAAAAGAAAAGAAAUUGAGUAUGUUUUAUUGUUUUGAUCUUUUCUUCAAGGUAGUUGAAACAUGAAUGUUUAAAAAUUGUAUCUGUUGCAAAAGACAAGGUAGAAUAACUAAUUUUAUUAUGUUUAUUAUGCCCGAAAAAAUUAUUGAGUA